GUAGAGCUCGUCGAUACGAUCUCGUGCAUAUGUGGAACGCAAAAAUCGGAGUUCGUAUGAGAAAGUUAUGAUCAAUUGAAAUUUGGGGAAAUUUCUAUAAAUAGCAAAAAAAUCCCGAAAAUGGAAAUUGUCUGCAGAUUUUUCUCUCCCGAGCUCGGCUACUGUAGCCAUUUCGCCUCCUUCAUUCUUCCUCCUCCGUCCACAAUAGGUCGAAUUGUUGAGUGGGUUUUGUUCACCACACUCCCACCUACACGUCUGUGGAAGCCUUUUAUCAUGGGAAGCACUGUGGAGGCCGUUGCAACCCCGGGAAGUUGCUCCGCCGAGCUAAAAACGCCCAAAAUCGCCGACCUUGGUUCUCCCAAUUCCGGCCACCAUAGCUCGAGUUCUUUGAGGGCUUUUCUAGCCCAGAGGCCGUAGAUGCUUCCCUCCAAGCGGCUUGCAACGAUUUCACCUGUGGAGCUCGAAUUUUGAAGAUUGGGAAACUAGGGUUCUUCGGGUUUCAAAACUUGCGAGGUGAUUGACGGUCUCCCUUGGGUGAAUGAUUUCGGUGUGUAUUGUGUUAAAUUGAAGACGCAGCGGGAAUAUCGAGCGGGUAAUCCUACAGGUCAGGUGAAUCGGGAAGGUGAUCGAGCUGCUUAGAGAAAUUGCAUUGGGUAAAUCUGGAUUUAUAUUGUGAGGUUUGUUAUGCUCUUUUGAGUAUUGUAAAUUAAGUGUGAGAGUGUGAUGUAAUAAGUAAAUUGAAGAUUGGUUUUUGUAUUAUUGAGAGGUGUGAAGUGUGGUUGUUUGUGAGAAAAAAAUUCAGGACGUUAUUUGUAUUGAUGUUAAUCAUGUUUCGGACUUUGAAUCCUUUAUUCAAAAUUCGGGGCGUGACAGUUUGGUAU
Long non-coding RNA from Rosa rugosa (rugosa rose), 881 nucleotides. RefSeq lists it as uncharacterized. The transcript has 3 exons. The record is from RefSeq and is a predicted model, not a curated record. NCBI's taxonomy places the organism in Eukaryota, Viridiplantae, Streptophyta, Magnoliopsida, Rosales, Rosaceae.